This 506-nucleotide ribosomal RNA is filed under the name uncultured bacterium. Its description in RNAcentral is "partial 16S ribosomal RNA". It matches the Rfam family "Bacterial small subunit ribosomal RNA", at positions 28 to 523 of the family's 1533-position model. The record is from RNAcentral.
GACGAACGCUGGCGGCGUGCUUAACACAUGCAAGUCGAGCGGAAAGGCCCCUUCGGGGGUACUCGAGCGGCGAACGGGUGAGUAACACGUGGGUAAUCAACCCCUGACAUCGGGAUACCCCGGGGAAACCCGGAUCAAUACCGGAUAAGGUGCGGAGGCGCAGGCCGCCGUACCAAAGGUAGCUUCGGCUUCCGGUCAGGGACGAGCCCGCGGCCCAUUAGCUUGUUGGUGGGGUAACGGCCCACCAAGGCGACGGUGGGUAGCUGGUCUGAGAGGACGAUCAGCCACACUGGGACUGAGACACGGCCCAGACUCCUACGGGAGGCAGCAGGGGGGAAUCUUGCGCAAUGGGCGGAAGCCUGACGCAGCAACGCCGCGUGCGGGAAGAAGGCCCUAGGGUCGUAAACCGCUUUCAGGGGGGACGAAGCUUCCGGGGUUAAUAGCCUACGGGGUGACGGUACUCCCAGAAGAAGGUCCGGCUAACUACGUGCCAGCAGCCGCCGUAA